Molecule: long non-coding RNA, 193 nt
Organism: Lemur catta (Ring-tailed lemur)
Lineage: Eukaryota; Metazoa; Chordata; Mammalia; Primates; Lemuridae
Exons: 2
Source: RefSeq, a predicted model, not a curated record
AGCAUCCCAAUCCAAAAUUUGAUUUCACCAAAGAAUCUAUUUCUGGAAAAUCUCAAAAUGAAUCCAACAAUGAAAAGCUAUGGUGCUGCUGGAUACUCUCCUGUGGAAGAGCUUCUUCUCUAGAUUCACUGAUGAGUCAAAUCUAAAUGAAGACAUUCUUUAGAAAGCAUCAUGGAAAUAUGUGCCAAUUUUU